UGAUCUAUGGCCGAACUGGUAAAGGCAUUGCCGAUCACAGGCAAGGUUGCGAGUUCGAGUCCCGCUGGAAUGG
Operophtera brumata (winter moth) is the source of this 73-nucleotide transfer RNA. It matches the Rfam family "tRNA". Rfam says of the family: Transfer RNA (tRNA) molecules are approximately 80 nucleotides in length. The record is from Rfam. NCBI's taxonomy places the organism in Eukaryota, Metazoa, Arthropoda, Insecta, Lepidoptera, Geometridae.